GUUGGCUUAGAAGCAGCUAUUCAUUCAAAGAGUGCGUAAUAGCUCACUAGUCGAGUGACCCUGCGCCGAAAAUGUACCGGGGCUAAAACAAUUUACCGAAGCUGUGGAUACCCUUAUAGGUAUGGUAGGAGAGCGUUCUAUGUGUGAACAAGGUGUACCGUGAGGAGUGCUGGAACGCAUAGAAGUGAGAAUCCCGGUAUGAGUAGCGAAAGACAGGUAAGAAUCCUGUCCACCGUAAGACUAAGGUUUCCCAGGGGAAGCCUCGUCCGCCCUGGGUUAGUCGGGACCUAAGGAGAGACCGAAAGGUGUAUCCGAUGGACAACAGGUUGAUAUUCCUGUACUAGAGUAUGUAGUGAUGGAGGGACGCAGUAGGCUAACUAAAGCAGACGAUUGGAAGUGUCUGUCUAAGCAGUGAGGUGUGAUAUGAGUCAAAUGCUUAUAUCUGUAACAUUGAGCUGUGAUGGGGAGCGAAGUUUAGUAGCGAAGUUAGUGACGUCACACUGCCAAGAAAAGCUUCUAGCGUUUAAGCAUACUCUACCCGUACCGCAAACCGACACAGGUAGUCGAGGCGAGUAGCCUCAGGUGAGCGAGAGAACUCUCGUUAAGGAACUCGGCAAAAUG
RNAcentral lists this ribosomal RNA (621 nucleotides) under Streptococcus mitis. Its description in RNAcentral is "bacterial LSU rRNA". It matches the Rfam family "Bacterial large subunit ribosomal RNA", at positions 1100 to 1724 of the family's 2925-position model. Lineage: Bacteria; Bacillati; Bacillota; Bacilli; Lactobacillales; Streptococcaceae. The record is from RNAcentral.